Vulpes vulpes (red fox) is the source of this 103-nucleotide small nuclear RNA. Lineage: Eukaryota; Metazoa; Chordata; Mammalia; Carnivora; Canidae. The record is from Ensembl.
GUGCUUGCUUUGGCUGCACAUAUACCAAAAUUGGAACGAGAGAGGAUUAGCAUGGUACCUGUGCAAGGAUAACAUGCAAAUUCAUGAAGCAGUCCAUAAUUAA